Molecule: ribosomal RNA, 1041 nt
Filed under: Triticum aestivum (bread wheat)
Lineage: Eukaryota; Viridiplantae; Streptophyta; Magnoliopsida; Poales; Poaceae
Description: partial small subunit ribosomal RNA
Source: RNAcentral
AUGGGGAAGAAGCCGGGCAGCGCUGGCCCUUCCUCGGCAUCCAGGCCCAUGAACCAGGCCCUGUCGCUCCGCGAGGAGACCUCCGGAAAGACGCCGGCCGGCACGCCCUCCCUGCUGAGGGUCCAGCACCUGCAGCGGCUGGGGGCGUGGGCAAGCGGUGAGGCGGGAGUUGGCUCGAUCGGAGCGCUGCUGGGCCGCCGCUUCGCCACGGACGCCGAGGCGGCCGGGAUCCCCGUAGGUGCUUCCACCUUCCUUUGCCAGAGGUGUGAAUCAAUCUUACAGCCAGGCUUCAACUGCACAAUCCGCAUAAAGAACAACAAAAAGAAAGCAAAACGGCGCAAGAAGUCAAAUCCUGGCCAAAAUAGUGUUGUCUAUGCAUGCCAUUUCUGUGGAGACCAAAACCUGAUACGGGGUAGUGGAAAGGGUAUCGUGAAGGUACUGUUAUCAUCAAGAAAGCCUGUUAGCACAAUGUUGAAAGCAGAACAUAUGAACGCGCCAACAGUAACUACUAAAAAGGGGAUCGAGCAUUCUGUGACAGCAGCCUCGCAACUGGAAUCAUCCAGGUUGAGAAUAUCCACUCUUGAAAAGGACAAAGGCAUCCUGCAGAAAAUCGAAGUAGAAAGCGCACGUGAUAAAUGUGUGAAUGGAAUUGAGCCCGCGGCUUCUAAAAAUACUAGUACAUGCGAACAUGAUGUCACUUCUCAAGCAGAAUUUCUAGCUGGGUCAAACUUUGUUACUCCUCAGAAGAACAAACUGGCGGAAGUGGCCGCGCCUAUAGCUUCAGUAGAAGCAUUGAAGACUAGAAGUACACCGAACAGCAAAGCGCAGAAUUAUGGUUCAGUUGCUGGCAAGGCCCCUGGAAGUUAUAGCAAGUCAGCUUCGAAUACCAAAUCUGCGCCAGGUGAUUCUACUCAGCCGGCUGGCAGUUCAAGGAAGCGGGCAAGAAAAGGGUGGACUACGCUGAAGCAGAUCGCUGAGAAGGACGAGCUUGAGAGAAAAGAGAAGAUGGAUAACUUUGUAAUCCCGUUCUUCAUGGAGUAG